Molecule: long non-coding RNA, 14501 nt
Filed under: Manihot esculenta (cassava)
Lineage: Eukaryota; Viridiplantae; Streptophyta; Magnoliopsida; Malpighiales; Euphorbiaceae
Description: long non-coding RNA (MESC_LNC008878)
Source: RNAcentral
AUCCUGAAGUGGGAGACGGAGAGGCUUGUCUGAGGGCCUCUUGGGCUCCUGGAUCUGGUCCAGAGCUUCAAGAAGAGUUGGGCCCUUGUACCAGUCAAGGUUGGUUGAUCUCUCAAUCAUAUUGUCACCUUCAAACCCAGAGAUGGGAACAAAAGGAAUCUUAUCAGGGUUGUAUCCAACCUUCUUGAGGUAGGAGGAGACUUCCUUGACAAUUUCAUCGUACCUAGCCUUGGAGUACUUGGGGGUGGUGGCAUCCAUCUAAAUAAAUGAUGGAACAAAGGCUUAAAUGUUAGAAAAAACGAUAGUAAGAUUGUCAAAUGUAUGGCAAAUACAGCAACUAUUAAACAACAAAGCCAUAUUCAGUUCCCCUAAGCAAGAAGGCAAACUGUAAGCCAGAGAGGUUAGGGCAGGGUCAUUUAACACAAUAAACACUAACAGCAGACAGACCACUUGCUAUCAAUUUAAAGCAGCCGUGGUAAACUGUUUAUCUCUGAAACUUGAUUCAUUAACCCAAAAGAAAAAGCAAACAAAGAAACAAACAUAAAAUAUACAGGCAAGGAGCAUGUGCUCAUAUACACAUAUAAGGCACAAAGGAAGCAUAUAAAACAUUUGUAGAAAGAUAACAAUGUGAGAGGAAGUGACAUUUCUAGAAAGAUCCAAUGUGAAGUAAGUGAAAGUGCAAACUAAUAUUUUUGCACCCCGUCCACUAUGAAACAAGCAUCUAACAGGAAAACAUAAAAUAACAGUGUUUGAUAAAAAAAAGAUUAUCAAACCUACUAUAUUGACAAGUGGGGAGAGAGGGAAUCGAACCCUCAACAGUUCAAUGUGCAUAACCACCGGUUUAACAUCCGGAGCCAUCCACCAUUAGGCCAUCUUCUCCCCCAAAUAGACAACAUCACAUGUCUUCUAAUAAAGUAAACACCCAUCAUAGCUCUGGACAUUAUCCAUAUAUGCGUCAAAUAGUACGAACAUUUCAACAUUGCAUUUGAGCUAGAUGGGUGCUCUUUAUCAGAAGAGGGGCCAUAACAAACAGGAUAAUAAACAAGAGCAGAAAGUGUCACAACGUGGAAUAUUACCUUGUUGCAGCAGCAAAUCAUUUGCUUUACACCAAGGGUGAAAGCAAGUAGAGCAUGCUCACGGGUCUGUCCAUCCUUGGAAAUACCAGCUUCAAAACCACCAGUGGUGGAAUCGAUGAUAAGGACAGCACAGUCGGCCUGUGAAGUACCAGUAAUCAUGUUCUUAAUGAAAUCACGAUGCCCGGGAGCAUCAAUGACAGUGCAGUAGUAUUUGGUGGUUUCGAACUUCCACAAGGCAAUAUCGAUGGUGAUACCACGCUCACGCUCGGCCUUGAGCUUGUCAAGCACCCAGGCAUACUUGAAUGACCUCUUGUUCAUCUCAGCAGCUUCCUUCUCAAACCUCUCAAUCACACGCUUGUCAAUACCUCCAAGCUUGUAGAUAAGAUGACCAGUGGUGGUCGACUUACCAGAGUCGACGUGGCCAAUGACCACAAUGUUGAUAUGAACCUUCUCCUUACCCAUUAUAGAUGUUUAAACACUUAACUGGAAAACGGAAAGGAAUAAAAACGAAUAAGAAGUUGUUUUAGCUAUAAGCAGCCAGUAAGAGUCGAAUUACAGAGACAAAUCAGCAUCGUUUCUCCUCAUAAAUCCAAUAGAAAACAGACAUAGCAUUCACACUUCUUAGAUUCACAACAAAAAGAGCACGAAACGAAGAGCUUAAUCUCAAAAUCAACUAAACGAAACAAACAAAAUAAAUCAGAUCUACUGAAAGAGCAAAUAGAUCUGGAUAUUAAACAAAAGAAAACAGGUAAUUAGAACAAAAGCAUGACGAGCUAAAUCACAAAAUUCUUUGAAAUCUAACAAAUCUGUCUCUCUACAUCAGAAAAGCUAAAAGCUAAAAACUAAAAAAAAAUCGGAUGCAUCUAUAAAUCCUAGUUUUAAAAAAUUGGUAAAAUCAUCAAAGAUUAUCGAGAACACCAAAAUCUGGACCUUAAGAUUAAUGCAAAGCUUGAUACAAGGAUGAAUCUACAUCCAUCCAUAGAAUAUAAUAACCUGAGUGAAGAGAAUAAGGUUCAGAUCCGAUUACCUGAACGCAGCCAAGAGAAAUCUACGAGAACCUCGCGUAUACUGUAACGAAGACGCGAAGGCAGAGAGUGUAGUGCGGUGUGAGGCUAGCUCUCGUUAUAUAUAGCAAUAAGAUUAGGGUUGCUGCUUCCUAGUGGACGGAGCAAGACCUCAUUCAGUUUAUUUACUUUUUUGCCCCUAAUGAGCAAGCCAAAUAUUUGAAAUAAAAUUACUACUUGAUCUAUAUCUAUAUGGUAACUAGUUUCUUACUUUUAAAAAAUUUAUAAAAAUAUUUAAUAUUUUUAAAAAUUUAUUAAUUAAUUUUAAUAUGAAAGAAUUAAUUAAUAAAUUUUUUAAAAUUAUAAAUAAUAAAAUAUUUAAAAUUAAAAUAACAGAUGAAUUGAUAUGUAAAAUUUUUAAAAUGUAAAAAAUAUUUUAAUAUAUUUUUAAAAAAAUAAACGAUUAAUUAAUAAUUUUUUAUAUUAUAAAAAUUAAAUAAUAACUUUUUUAUAUUUUAUUUUUAUUUAUAUAUUAUUAACAAGUAGUGAUUAAUUAUUAUACAACAUAUUUAUAUAUUUAUUGCAUAAAUAGUAAUUAAUUUUACAUAAUUAAAUUUAAUAUAUAUAUUUAUUAUAGUUAUUAAACUAGCUUUAAUAAUUUCAGUAGCCUAUCAAAUUUAAUAUAUAACAAUAUUUAAAGAUCGUUUUAAUUUUAAUUAAAUUGCAUUUGAGUGAUUCAAUAUAUGGACAAUUGAAUUCAAAUAUUAUAUAUUUAAUUAGAAUUAUGUUUUCAAUCAUUAAGAUUAAUUUUCUUUUUAAAUAAUGCACAUCCCUUUGUGUAGUGUUUGUCUUGUUAAAAAAUCGAGUUUUGCUAGCAUUGAAUGGGCUAUUGCUAUGAAAUGACCAGCUGCUGUGGCCUUUGGCUUUGGGUUGUGGGUUUGUGGCUUGGCUUCGGCUUGUUUUUUCUCUAUUAUUUAGCCCGCUGAUCUUUUAGAAUGGCACUGUAAAUAAAUAAAACGCAAUAUAGGCUGAUAAAUCUAAAAACUAGGCAAAUUAAUAAAAAAAUAAUGAUAGAGGAAAAAACCUAAGUUAAAGAUGGUAAUAAUAAAAUAUCCACAAAAAUCACGAACGAAUUAUUAUCUUUAGUAUUUGCAAUCCGUUCUACCCCAUCUAAUUAUAUAUAUUUUAAUAAAGUUUAUAUAAAAUCUAUAUCUCGAUAAUAUUUUUUAUUUUAGACAUUCAUUUCUAUUAUUUUAUUUUUAAUUAAUAUAUAUAAAAUAAAUUUCAAACAUCAUGGCACUGUUUUAUAUUUAAAUACUUAUUUAAAAAAGAUAAAUAAUACGCCUCAUACCAAAAAUAACUCGUAAAUUAAUCAAAAUCUUCAAAAUAAAUAAUAAAUAUCAUGUAUUUAUUCAUCUAUUAAAAAAUUUGACACAACCAAUUUUGAUUUUAGUCCAGUAAAGACUAACAUAAUACUCACAUAAAAAAUUCAGGUUCAAGUCUUCUUAUUUUUAAUUCCCUACUAAAAAAAUGACACAAAUAUUUAUUGAGACUAUACAAAAUAUAAAUAGUUAUGACUUGAUCUCUCAUAUUCAAUCAAGAAAUUCUCACCAAUAUAAAAUUAUAUAUUUAUAUAAUAUAAUAAAUUAUUAUAAUCUUUAUCAUAAAGCGAUUCCAUUGAAUUAAAAUUAAAAUUAUCUUAUAUUAUUAUAUAUAGAUCAAUAAAUUAAUAUUAGUUCGUAUUAUUUUUCAUUGCAUAUGAAUCAAUUUAAAAUAAAUUUAAUUUAUAUUAUAUCAACAAUAAAAUGAGUUAAUUGAAUUAAAAUAAAAUUACUUUAUCACAACUUUAAUUUGAUCUAAUUGAAUUAAAAUCAAAAUCAUUUAAGAUUCAUUACUAAUUAAAUUUAAUUAAAAUUAAAUGAUCCUGUAUAUGAAUAAUAUGAAUCAAAAUCUAUUCAUACUAUACAAAUCAUAAAAUGAGUUCAUUGAUAAGAUCGGUUCACUUUAUGUCAAUUUAAAUUAGGCAAAUCAAAUUAAAACUAAUCUAUCUUAUAUAUAUCAAAUAUUAUUAAAAUUAAAUUAAAAUAAAUUUUUUUAAAGAAAAAAUAAAAAAUUUUAUAUUUAUAGUGUACAAUUGUUCCAGAUGUGAGAGAAAUAUUUUCGGGAGUUUUAUUUCAAAAGGAGAAAAAUGACGUUACAUUUUGUUUGGAAGCUUCAUUGCUUCCUUAUGUACCCAGUCAAGUCCACGUGAACAUCACGUAUAACUUUACAGAUUAGAAAUAAACGAAUUAAAAGAAAUCAUGUUACAUUAGCUCUAAUAUAACAAAAAGGAGAAUAUUACAAUGCGACAUAUCUUUGUUAUUUACAAUUACACACUUCAACACUCCCUCCCCAAAUUGAAACUGGUAAAGUAAAAAAAUUCAACUUGCAGACCAAACUGGUAUGGCGACAUAUUGGCAAUGCCUUCGUGAAGAGGUCUGCCAAUUGGUCUUGAGUAGGAAGGUGAUUAGGCAAGAUAAAUCCCUGUUGUAGUUGAUCUCGGACGAGGUGGCGAUCUAUCUCGAUAUAUUUUGUGCGCUCAUAGAAUACUAGGUUAAUAGUAUUGUGCAUGGCUGCUUUACUAUCACAGUAUAGUGAUAUAGGCAGUUGAGUUGGAACCUGCAAGUCUUAGAAAAUAUAACUAAUCCAGAGAAGCUUACCCACAGUGUUGGCCAUUGCACGAUACUCAGCCUCAGUUGAGAACUUAGAAACAGUGGUUUAUUUUUUUCAUUUUUCAAGAUAUGAGGCAAGGGUCCAAGUAAAUGCAAUACCCAAAGAGAUUUUCUAGAGUAUGUGCAAGCAACCCAAUCAGAAUCACAAUAUGUAUGGAGAGAUAAAUCAGUACUCACAAGAGAGUAAAGGCCUUUGUGUAAGGACCCCUUAAGAUAACGAAGCAAACGUAAAACAGUCUCCCAACGAGGCCUUCGAGGCAUGCUCAUAAAUUGACUUAAAUGUUAAACAACAUAACAUAUAUCAAGUCUUGUUAGAUUGAUGUAAAGAAGUUUGCCAAGUAGCCUUCUUUACAUAUUAGGCCCAGGAAGAGCCUCUCCUGAAUCAGGAGUCAAGUGCAAUCCUUGUGGCAAAGAGGAAGAUGCAGGUUUAUAAUAAAAUAUGCCUACAUCUUUAUGCACAUCCAAAAUAAACUUUAUUUGGCUAAGAAUAGUUGGAUAAGAAGAUCUAGCAACUUCUAGACUCAAGAAAUAUUUCAUAAGUCUCAAAUCUUAAAUAGUAAAUUUUGAAUGCAAGGCAAGUUUGCACUUAUUAAUAGUGUCGAUAAAAUUUUUUAUCAAGAUAACAUCAUCAACAUACACCAACGGGAUCAAAACCAAAGUGUUAGUAUGUUGUGUAAAGAGUCAAUGCUCAUGAGAUGACUGCACAAAUCCUAAAGUCUUAAGGAAAGCAAUAAACUCAAUAUUCCAUUGUCUAGAGCUUUGUUUAAACCCAUAUAAGAACCUCUUAAGCAAACAUACUUGCUUAAAUUGGGCUUUGUGAUAGCCCUAGGGAGGUGUCAUGUAUACCUCUUCAUUCAAAUGUCCGUGCAAGAAGGUAUUAUUGAUUUCCAACCGAAAAAUUGGCGAAUGUUUAGAGGUGGCCAAGGCAACGAGAAUCAUCGUUGUGAUAAGUUCAGGCACAUGUGAGAAUUUGUCCUUGUAAUCCAAGCCCUCUAUUUUGUUGUAGCCUUUGACAACCAAACGAGUUUUAUACCUAUCUACAUCCCCAUUACAAUCUAUAACUCUCUUAUUCUCAGACAAAGUAAUAAGAAUCCGAGUAUUAUACAACCAAACGAGUUUUAUACCUAUCUAUAUUUUCUUUACAGUCUAUAGCUCUCUUUAUCCCUAGGCAAAGUGGUCAGAAUUCAAAUAUUAUUUUUUUCCAAGGCAUGAAGUUUUUGUCCCAUGGCCUCAAUCCAGUGAACAAGACAUAAUAAGUGCAACUUUAUUAUUGACAUUGCAAAUAUAUGAACUAUGAGAUGAACAAAAGAAUAAGGUGGUUGUUUACAAAGGAUUCACAUAAUCCUACAACUAAAUAGGUGGUUAUCUAUGCCCGAGUCCUAGGUAAAGGACAUUUCUAAGGCCAUUAUUUCUAGGACUGCAUUGGCAAGGUUGCGAGUCAAGACGGUCUCAACCACAGGCAUAAGGACCACAUAACAUUCAAUGUCAUUAUUCUUUUGAGCCACAAGCUUUCCCUAAAUAAUAAAGUAGUUGUCUAUACAAAGUGUAUAGAUAUUAGUCCAAUAAGUGAUUCAGUCCUACAGCUCAAUGUACAAAGAGACUCGAUGAAUACUGGCACUAAACGCUAAGGACCAUGCACACAUUUAUAGAAGGCGUACCAGGAAGAAAAUAUGUCACCGAACAAAGUAGGAAGAUAAAAACAAUAAACCAAAAACCAUAAGUAGAAAAAUGAGGAAACGAUACGUGGGCCUUUUCUAAUUCAACUGAACCAAAUAAAGAUAACCACAUGAUACUACUCGUAUUCAGUACUACGAACCAUUUCGUUCUGACCUAGAAAAUCCAUUCUGAAGUUAAUGUUCUGGCAACGGGACAAGCUUCCAUAACCCUCCCACCACUCCAGAAACCAGAACACAAUCCAUCAAACCACCAAAAAAACAAAACCAUUAAACAUAUCAACAAAACGGGGCAACAUAGACAAAACUCUGCAACUUGAUAGAAAUUAUCUCAAACAUCCACAGCAAACGUAAUAAUAUCGCCACCGCCUAUCUAGCACCCAAUUCUGGGUGCUGUACGUAGACGUCGGGCAAAAAAAGUACAAAAUAGAAACACUACCAAAACAACUUGAAAAACUAAGAUAAAUAUAAGAUGUCCUCAACAGUAAUAUUAAAUGCUCCGCGCUCCCACGCACAAAUCAUUUCCCUCCCUUCUUGGCAGCAGACUUGGUGACUUUAGCUCCACUUGGGUCCUUCUUCUCAACACUCUUGAUCACACCAACAGCAACUGUCUGGCGCAUGUCCCUAACAGCGAAUCUACCCAGUGGAGGGUACCCAGAGAAAGUCUCCACAACCAUGGGCUUGGUCGGAAUCAUCUUCACGAACCCAGCAUCACCAUUUUUCAAAAACUUGGGCUCCUUCUCAAGCUCUUUGCCAGACCUACGAUCAAUCUUGGUUAAGAUUUCAGCAAACUUCACAGCAAUGUGGGAGGUGUGGCAAUCCAGCACUGGGGCAUAACCAUUUCCAAUCUGACCAGGGUGGUUCAUGAUGAUGACCUGCGAUGUAAAGUUGGCAGCCUCCUUGGCAGGAUCAUCCUUAGAGUUUGAUGCAACAAAUCCUCUCUUCAGAUCUUUCACUGCAACGUUCUUCACGUUGAACCCAACAUUGUCACCAGGGAGGGCCUCCUGGAGAGCCUCAUGAUGCAUCUCAACAGACUUAACUUCAGUUGUCAGACCAGUAGGUCCGAAGGUCACAACCAUUCCAGGCUUCAGGACACCAGUUUCCACACGACCCACUGGGACAGUUCCAAUACCACCAAUCUUGUAAACAUCCUGAAGUGGGAGACGGAGAGGCUUGUCUGAGGGCCUCUUGGGCUCCUGGAUCUGGUCCAGAGCUUCAAGAAGAGUUGGGCCCUUGUACCAGUCAAGGUUGGUUGAUCUCUCAAUCAUAUUGUCACCUUCAAACCCAGAGAUGGGAACAAAAGGAAUCUUAUCAGGGUUGUAUCCAACCUUCUUGAGGUAGGAGGAGACUUCCUUGACAAUUUCAUCGUACCUAGCCUUGGAGUACUUGGGGGUGGUGGCAUCCAUCUACAGAGACAUUAAAAAACAAUAAGUGCGACAAAAAAUUGAUCUCAAAGCACAUAUACAUAUAGAACUUAACAAUACUAAUACUUAUAUUUCCCAAAUAACAGCAACCUCAUAUCAAUAUAACCUCUCUCCUGGACAGAUAAGAUCCAAGCAUAUCAUUUACAAUCAGCCAUCGUGAUCCUAAACAACUAGAAUUUUACAGCCAACAAUCACUCAACCUCUCAGCAUUGCAUUCUUAACACAUUGCUCCUAUCUUUUCAUUUUUCAACAAAAUUAUGAAUAGGAGGAUAACAUUCAGCACCAACACGAAUGCACAGCCAAAGCCAGCAAGUAAUUAGGUUGUUACCUUGUUGCAGCAGCAAAUCAUUUGUUUGACACCAAGGGUAAAAGCAAGAAGGGCGUGCUCACGGGUUUGACCAUCCUUGGAAAUACCAGCUUCAAAACCACCAGUGGUGGAAUCAAUAAUAAGGACAGCACAGUCAGCCUGUGAGGUACCAGUAAUCAUGUUCUUAAUAAAGUCACGAUGACCAGGAGCAUCAAUGACAGUGCAGUAGUACUUGGUGGUCUCAAACUUCCACAAGGCAAUAUCAAUGGUGAUACCACGUUCACGCUCGGCCUUGAGCUUGUCAAGCACCCAGGCAUACUUGAAUGACCUCUUGUUCAUCUCAGCAGCUUCCUUCUCAAACCUCUCAAUCACACGCUUGUCAAUACCUCCAAGCUUGUAGAUAAGAUGACCAGUGGUGGUCGACUUACCAGAGUCGACAUGGCCAAUGACCACAAUGUUGAUGUGAACCUUCUCCUUACCCAUUGUUUAAUCUGAAAAGCAAGCAUAAAAGAAAUUCAGUAAUAAACAAAAAAAAAUUAAGUUAAAAUAAAGAAUAGUGACAUACUAAACAGUAAAAAACCCAUUGAUGGUAGGCAAUAAACAUACCAUACAGAAACGAGAACAAGACAAGAUACUUGAACUAUAGAUCCAAGAACAAAAGACUGAUUAAAAAACUCAUAUGAAAACAUUUUACAAGGUCUAUCAGAAAAAUAUCCAAACGGAACCACAACCCAAGUACAGAAAACUGAUUGCAAAGCACAGACCAACUUUACGACGAUUUAAAGCAUAAAACGGGGAAAAAAUCGAUAUGAAGACUAUGAAAUCGCAAAAUCAACUAAACAGUCCAAACAAAAUAUAUUAAACUUAUAGUUAUUGAAAGAGCAAAUAGAUCUGAUGUUAAUCAAAGAAAAUAAAAGGUAAUUAAACUAUAUCGAGCAGGAGAGCUAAAUCACGACACGAUUUGGAAUCUAAGAAAUCAGUGACUGACCUGGAGAGACUGAGGAGAAGGAGGAGGCAGCAACGGCGGCGGAGAUUAAGAAAGGCUUAGGAAAUGAGCACGCACUAUGGCAGCGAAGAAAAGGGGAUGCGAACUGAGAGAAGCAGAGGCAAUAUGCCAUUAUUUAUAGCGCUAAAAGGGCUAGGGUUACUCGUUACUCGAAGGCGGCGAAUAUUUUAUCUUACGGUUUUGCCCUUGCCCUAACCUUCAUGCGCAUGACAAAGUGUGACGAGUUUGUCCCAAUUGCUUGCAUACUAAGUGUCUAUGCCGUUGCUAUUAAAACUGCAAAUUUAAAACAUAAAAAUAAAAAUAAAUUAUAAAAAAAGAAAAACAAUUAGCUGUAAUUUUUUCCAUUUUUUUCUUGUUCAGCAAAAGGAUAAGGACAGAGAGGUAACGAGUUUAAACAACGCCGAAUUAAAUUAAUUAUUACAAAUAAAUUUACUUAAAUUUAAUAAUUUAAAUUUUUUAUAAUCACAGACUUAACCUGAUGAUAAGUGCAUCCGAGUAAACCUGAUAGAUCUCAGGAUCGAAUCCCCCAAUCCCUAAUUCAAAAAAAAUAAUAAUUUAAAUUUUUUAAAUUUAAUAAUUUUAAUUUUUAAAUGAUAAUAUAAUUACAUCUCGAAGAGAACAUUUUAAAAUCAAAUUUUUGUAAUAAUAAAUGAAAAAUAAAUAUAUGAAAUAUUAAAUAUAAAACUUUAUGUAUUUUUUACUCUAAGUGAUAAUAAAAUAAAAUGAAUUAUAAUAGUUAGUCAUUGGGCGGUAGUAAAAAAUACUUAUUUUAUAUAAAUAUCAAGGGCAAUGAUAUCCUUGCUGCCAACAACGGUAAAAAUUUUCUUUUGAAAAAAAUUGGAAUUGAACCAAAUUAUGAUGUGGUUUUUUAUUUAGUUCAUUGUUUAUAGGUUUAUUUGUUCAAAAAUAUCAAAUUUUAGAUAAAAAAUUAUAAUUUUUAAAUUUAUUAUAAUUAUAAUAAUUUUUUAAAUUAUUUUUUUUCUAAUUUAAAUUAAUUUACAUGAAGUACUAUAUAUUAUUAUUUUUAUCAUAUACAAAAUUUAAUUAAUUUGAAUUAAAUUUUAUUAAAAUUUUAAAUCUUUAAUUACUUAAAAUUUAAAAUGAAUUUCUUAUUUAAAUAAUAAAAAAUUAAAUCUUUCAAUUAGUUAAUUUAAAAAUUUCAUAUAAUUAAAGAUUUAUCAUGAAAACUAAAAUUUGAUUUCAGUUAAUUAAAUUUUUUAUGCGUUAAAAAUAAUGACACAUAAUAUAUUAUAUAAAUUAAUUUAUAUCUAAUUAAAAUUAAUUUAAAAAAUUAUUAUAAUUAUAACAAAUUUAAAAAUUAAAAUUCUUUAUUCAAAAUUAAAUGUUUUAACUAUAAAUAUGAAAAAUUAUAAAAUUAAUAAACUUUUUUAUAAUAAUAAUUUUUUUUACAAUUGAAUCUAGUUAAAUUUGAGCACUAAAUAUUUUAAUUUUAUGAGAUAAAGUUUAUUAAUUUGUGUUUGCUAAAUAUAUUAAUUUUAAUUGAAAGAUUUUUUACACUAUUUAAAUUUAUUAUACUUGAGUUUUAACAUUUAAAAAUCUAUAGCUAUUAAAACAUAUCUCAAUCUCAAAACACAAUAUAUCAAAUAAUAAAUUUCAUUAUAUAUAUAUAAUUGAUGAAUUAAUUAUUAAUUUUAUAUUAAUAUAUAUUUGAUAAAUUAAAUAAGAAUGUCAAAUAUUAAUAUCAAAUGUAUUCUGCACAAUAUUAACGUUAUGGCUUAAAAUAACGCAUGGUAUAACAAUGGAAUUAAAAAAAAACAUUUGAUAUUUAGAAAAAAAAAAAAACAAUGUAAUUAAAAAUUCUUAAUUUUUGUAACCGUUAGAUAAUAGGAUGAUAAUAACGGGAUGAAAGGAAAUUUAUAAAUUAAAAUUUAUCGAACAAAAAAUUUAAAAUUUAAAAGUUAAUUAAAAGAUUUUAAUUUAUUUUAAUUAUAGAUAUUAGAAUUUUAAAAUUACUUUUAACAAAUAAAAUUUAAUUUAUAAUUUCAAAUUUUUAAAUUUAAUAAAAUUCAAGAUAAAAAAUAUAAUUUUUUUAACGCAAUUAAUUCUAACCGAAAUUUAAAUUUAAGAUUCCAUAACUGUAAAAUGGACUUUAAUAUUAUUGAGUUAAAGUCUAUCAAUAUGUUGAAUGUUUUUUUUUUUUCAUAAAAAUAUUGAUAGCUUUUUGGAUGAUUUUAUUUUUCACAAAUAAAAUUAUUUAUUUUAGUUGUAAAUAUAGGUUUAAUGUUUUAAAAAUAUGAUAAUGUUGUUACAAAAUCACAACUUUAAAUUAAAAAUAUCAUUGUUUAUAGAUUUGAUUUAAUUGGUUUUAAAAUUUGGUUUUUUGUUUCAAUAUAUAAAAGUAGAAAAGGGAUGAUAUUCAUACUUAAAUUUAAUAACAUCUGAUUGACUAUUAUUUUGAUCGGUUAACAAAUAAUAUUAAAUUAUUAUUAUUUUGAAAAUUUAAAUUUAAUUAGUUAAAUUGAUUUUAUAUUUAAAUUCAAUUUUUAUUUUACCUAUAAUUUAAAUUAGUUAAAUAAUUUAGGGCUUAUAUAAAUUUAAAAUCGCCCUACUUAUAUAUUUAAGUAAAUUUUAUUAUAAUAUAAUUUUACAAAACUAUCGCUAAACUCUAAAACCUUUGUUUAAAAAAUCAUUAUUUUAUGCUUCUUUAAAAAAUUAUCAAUUUUAAUAAAAUUAACUAAAAAAUAGAUCUUGUAUUUUUUUUAUUCUUCUGGGUUUCUAAAAAUAUAAAGUUGCGUUUUUUAAUAAAAUUAUGAUGUAAAAUUUAAGGUUGUUCUAAAUUUAUGAUAAUAUGCCAUGAAUAUUUUGAUAAUUUUUAAAAUAAAUAGCACGUUUAUAAUGCAUGAGGUUCUCUUGCAAAUCUGAAAUUUUAUAAGACAUUAUUAUCUUAUAAUUGUAAUUAAAUUGUGAAAUAAUUAGAAACUAAAUAUAUCCAUAAGCAUUUUUAUUAUCUAAAUUUGAAUCCAGUUUAAAAUUUUGAUUUAAAUUAUUGCAUAUAUAGUUUGGGUUUUUUAUUUUUAUAAAUAAUACAACUAAAUUAACUAAUCUAAUUGAAAAAUAAACUAAUUGAUAUAUAUUAAUAUUAAAUAAAAAUACAAUCAAGAAUAUCAUAAUUUACUUGAAUUCUUUAUGUUGCCAUGUAUUUUAAUGAACAGCACAGAUAUUAAAAUUUACUUGUAAAAUAAAGUUAAAGAACCCAAGUUUUCAUUUCUUUUCUCUUUUUUGACAAAAAGCUACAAGUUAUGUUUACACUGGAUUAGUCACUUUUAAGUGUAUAUUGUUUCCAUUUCAAAAAAAAAAAAAAAGUGUAUAUUGUUUUGCGGAAGAAUAUGAUUUUUUUUUUCUUUUACUACUUUUACUUAAAUAUGGUUCACAGAGAGAAAAUUUCUUAUAUUUAAUGAAAAAUAGUUCCUUUCAGAUAAAAAAAAAAAAAAAAAUUCAAUAGUUAGUAUUUUUACAUGCACAGCUAAAUUUUGCCCAAAAAAAUACACACACACACAACUAAACUUUACUUGAUAUGUUUUAGGUAUUUUCAUAAUUGUAAUUUAAACCAUUUAAAAUUUUAAUUUUAUCGUAUUAUUAUACAUGCUAUGGUAGAAAAUCAAAUGUAAAAAAAUAUUAGUAGAAUUAGGGACCUCAAAGAAGAAAUAUUAGGACAGACACCCCAUCACCAAGAAUGUAAUACAUGAAAUAAUAACUGAGAAAUCAUCAAAAACAUAUCAACAGAACGGUUCAAAAACAUAUCAACAGAACGGUGUAACAGAAACAAAAACUUUGAAACUAAAUAGAAAGUAUCCCAAACAUCCACCACAAAAGUGGCGUUAAGCACAACAACCACAACAAUAUCGCCACCGCCUAUCUAGCACCCAAUUCUGGGUGCUGCAAAUAGAUGAUGGACAUAAAAAGGUCAAAAUAGUAGUACUAACCAAACAUCUCAAAAAGCUAAGAUAAAUAUAAGAUGUUCUCAACAGAAAUAUUAAGAUUUGUGAGCUGCUAAGCACAAUUCAUUUCCCUCCCUUCUUGGCAGCAGACUUGGUCACUUUAGCUCCACUUGGGUCCUUCUUCUCAACACUCUUGAUCACACCAACAGCAACAGUCUGGCGCAUGUCCCUAACAGCGAAUCUACCCAGUGGAGGGUACCCAGAGAAAGUCUCCACAACCAUUGGCUUGGUCGGAAUCAUCUUCACGAACCCAGCAUCACCAUUUUUCAAAAACUUGGGCUCCUUCUCAAGCUCUUUGCCAGACCUACGAUCAAUCUUGGUCAAGAUUUCAGCAAACUUCACAGCAAUGUGGGAGGUGUGGCAAUCCAGCACUGGGGCAUAACCAUUUCCAAUCUGACCAGGGUGGUUCAUGAUGAUGACCUGCGAUGUAAAGUUGGCAGCCUCCUUGGCAGGAUCAUCCUUAGAGUUUGAUGCAACAAAUCCUCUCUUCAGAUCUUUCACUGCAACGUUCUUCACGUUGAACCCAACAUUGUCACCAGGGAGGGCCUCCUGGAGAGCCUCAUGAUGCAUCUCAACAGACUUAACUUCAGUUGUCAGACCAGUAGGUCCGAAGGUCACAACCAUUCCAGGCUUCAGGACACCAGUUUCCACACGACCCACUGGGACAGUUCCAAUACCACCAAUCUUGUAAACAUCCUGAAGUGGGAGACGGAGAGGCUUGUCUGAGGGCCUCUUGGGCUCCUGGAUCUGGUCCAGAGCUUCAAGAAGAGUUGGGCCCUUGUACCAGUCAAGGUUGGUUGAUCUCUCAAUCAUAUUGUCACCUUCAAACCCAGAGAUGGGAACAAAAGGAAUCUUAUCAGGGUUGUAUCCAACCUUCUUGAGGUAGGAGGAGACUUCCUUGACAAUUUCAUCGUACCUAGCCUUGGAGUACUUGGGGGUGGUGGCAUCCAUCUACACAGAUUUAAAUAACAAAAUAAAUAGAUAAUAUGCAACAGGAAAUAUUCAUGAUCUCAAAGCACCAUACAUGCAUAACUUUACAAGACUAGUAUGUCUAUUUUCCAAACAAUAAGAAACACAAUUCACUGCUAACACACAUCAGCCCCAAACCAUUAUAACAUCUAUCCUGGACAGACAACACAAGUAUUAUCACUUCCAAUCACCCAACCUAUUCCUCCACUUUACUACCACCUACUAAACACCCUCACAGUAUAGCAUUUUCAAUACAAUGUUAAGAUCUUUCAUUUUUACCAAAUUAUGAAAAAAAAAAGGAUAAAAAUAAGCAACGUUGUAAAGGCACAUCCAAAAGCAACAAGUUAUUAGUUUGUUACCUUGUUGCAGCAG